GACGAACGCUGGCGGCGUGCUUAACACAUGCAAGUCGAACGGAAAGGCCUGCUUUCCCUUGUGGAUUGCGGGUACUCGAGUGGCGAACGGGUGAGUGACACGUGAGUGAUCUGCCCCCAACUUGGGUAUAAGCCUGGGAAACUGGGUCUAAUUCCCGAUAGGACUGCAGGGUGGUGCCUGUGGUGGAAAACGAUUUUCUAGUGGUUGGGGAUGAGCUCGCGGCCUAUCAGCUUGUUGGUGGGGUAAUGGCCUACCAAGGCGGCGACGGGUAGCCGGCCUGAGGGGGUGGACGGCCACAUUGGGACUGAGAUACGGCCCAGACUCCUACGGGAGGCAGCAGUGGGGAAUAUUGCACAAUGGGCGGAAGCCUGAUGCAGCGACGCCGCGUGGGGGAUGACGGCCUUCGGGUUGUAAACUCCUUUCGACCGCGAGGAAGCCACCUGGUUGGAAGGGUGGUGACGGUAGUGGUAGAAGAAGCACCGGCUAACUACGUG
Molecule: ribosomal RNA, 494 nt
Filed under: uncultured bacterium
Lineage: Bacteria
Description: partial 16S ribosomal RNA
Rfam family: Bacterial small subunit ribosomal RNA
Source: RNAcentral